AUGUUCGCCAUGUGCGAGACCUGGAUGAAGCUGCUGGACGAUCUGCCGACCGGGGACCUGGAAGAGGCCAUCGAGGGUCUCGUUGCAGAUGUAAGCAGUAAGCUGCCACCUGCCACGAAUGCGGAGCAACGCCUCGACGAGUCGAUAACAAAUGGUGGAACGGAGGAAGAGGUUCCUAGAAACGAUGCCGCUGCCGAUUUACGAUCGAGCCUCGUGGUGUUCGUGGAGAAGCUUCAGUCUUUCUCGGAGAUAUCAGUGCAGAAAUACCUAGAUCUGCAGAAAGGCGUCGGUGCGGCCAAAGACAGGCUUCUGAAACAUGAAACAGGCUUGAGAUACUGA
RNAcentral lists this ribosomal RNA (339 nucleotides) under Triticum aestivum (bread wheat). RNAcentral's name for it is "partial small subunit ribosomal RNA". The record is from RNAcentral. Lineage: Eukaryota; Viridiplantae; Streptophyta; Magnoliopsida; Poales; Poaceae.